RNAcentral lists this long non-coding RNA (1857 nucleotides) under Aquilegia coerulea. RNAcentral describes it as "long non-coding RNA (ACOE_LNC002108)". Lineage: Eukaryota; Viridiplantae; Streptophyta; Magnoliopsida; Ranunculales; Ranunculaceae. The record is from RNAcentral.
UCCAACUGGAUGUUAUCACACAUUUCAGAAGUGCAAACCUCUACUGCCUUAAUUGCCCUCGUAACAAUGAGCAUGACCUGCCCCACACAAAUUGCCGCAUCUGACAUCAAAUUUCAAGGGACUUCCAAAAGUUUCCUUUUUUGCUGUUGAACUUGAUAGCGUGUAGAACCCUAAACUAAGGUUGCAAUUGCUUUCUUUAUCUGAAGUUGAUUAACAACAUACAUAACCUGUCCCACACAAUGAAAUGCAAGAAUGAGCUAAUACCACUAAUCCAAUCCAAGUACCCAAGGAGUUUGAAAAACCAACAAACAAACUUUAUAAAGAUCAAACAAACGACAAAAUAUAGAUAAAUCUAACCUGCAGCAAGCUUUGGAUGAAUCUUCCUCUGGACUUGUUGGCAAAUUGAGUCAUUAUCCGUGGAAGAGGAAAAAGGAAGAGACAGUAGAGAAGAAUGUGAGAAAGUUUAUUUACGUUAGUUGAAUGUGGAAGCUGAGAAGAAUGUGAAACACUUCCCUUGAAAUCCAUACCUGUCAUAGAGUCGAUCCUUCGUACUCUUUACUUUCAUCCCUUGCUCAUGCUGAUGUACCUUACAGGAUAUGUUGAACUGAAUCCUGUCGUGCACCCUGUUGAAAUUUUACUAUGAACUUAGUACAUCUUGUUUUGAAAAUACCAAACUCAAUACCUUCCUUCAGCUCACUGCACUUCUCUAUAUUUAUUGAGACUGUUUUACUGAUUUGUUGACAUCAAAAGCUCUUCCAUUAAACGUAAAUUUGCUCCUAAUUGUCCAUAGAAACCGGAUUGUAGAAUAAGGUAGAAUACACCACAUCUUAUGUUCAAGUUACCUGUUAAAAACAACAAACAUACAGCAAGUAAAACCUAAUCCUCCAAAAGCUUGACAUAAUAUAAAUCAAUUGGUUUUCUCAACAACUUAUCUGCAUGCAAGGUAAAUAGAGUGACGCUAUUUAUUCACAAUAGCACAAUCUAACUUGUAUAAACUUGCACAAUUUUUUUUGCUUAAAAAAACACAUUCUAUACUCUCUUUAUAUGGUGAGGUAAACAAAGCAAACUUACAAUUUAAACAAUAAAAAUUUCAAAUCAAUCACAUUUUUUCUUCAAGGGGGGUGGGGGGGGGGGAUCGAUGACAAUCAAAUCCCAUAAACAACAACAUAAAUGAAUGAAACUAAGUUGAAUACUCCGCACUAACCCAAACUUAAUCAGAACAUCAUGAUUAGAAGCAUAAUCAAUUUCCACUACCACCAAUUGGCUAUCUGUCAAUUUUAAAGCACCUUGAAAAGGCAUGCUUAUAACAAUGAUAAAUUUGGAUAAAAGACAGAAAUUUGAAUAUCUAAGAUUUUGAAAAUGUUACCAAGAAGCGAAAACUAAAUCCUGGCAAUCCUUACUAAUAUUAAUAAGUACAAAUACCAAUUCUCAAGCUAAAAACGCCAAAUUCAUGCUUUAGAAAUUAGCAUUCAAUAGAUAAUCUAUAUUCCAUGAUAAACCUAAAUAAAGCGUAUUUUUAAAUCAAUAAUGGCCAACACAAAUUUGGAAAAUGUUCAAUUUUAAGAAUUGGAAAGGUGAGAUGACAUUAAGGUUAGUCUUAAAGAAAAAAAUUAGUCAUUACAAACCUGUUUCUUCUUUAAAUCUGCAUCAUCCAUGAAGGUUUUUUUUUUUUUUUUUUUUAUUAGAAGGAUCAUCCAUGGAAGUUAAAAAACCCUUACAGCUCCAAAUGUGACCUGCAACUUGUAAGCAAGUUUUGAAAAUAAAAAUCUCUCCAUAGGAAAAGAAUAAAAAGAAGAAAAAAUCAACUCCAAAAUAUAAUACCAAUCCCCUAAGAACAGAAACAGCAAACCGAGAUCU